AAACUAUUUAUAUUUUGUUUUGAAAACAAAAUUUAAGAAAUGUUCUUGUAGUUUUA
RNAcentral lists this transfer RNA (56 nucleotides) under Cloacina communis. Its description in RNAcentral is "tRNA-Ser". Lineage: Eukaryota; Metazoa; Nematoda; Chromadorea; Rhabditida; Strongylidae. The record is from RNAcentral.